This 484-nucleotide ribosomal RNA is filed under the name uncultured bacterium. Its description in RNAcentral is "partial 16S ribosomal RNA". It matches the Rfam family "Bacterial small subunit ribosomal RNA", at positions 28 to 523 of the family's 1533-position model. The record is from RNAcentral.
GACGAACGCUGGCGGCGUGCUUAACACAUGCAAGUCGAACGAUGAAGCCGGAGCUUGCUCUGGUGAAUUAGUGGCGAACGGGUGAGUAACACGUGAGUAACCUGCCCUUGACUCUGGGAUAACUGCGGGAAACUGUAGCUAAUACCGGAUACGACCCUCGGAGGCAUCUCCUGGGGGUGGAAAGAAUUUCGGUCAAGGAUGGACUCGCUGCCUAUCAGCUAGUUGGUGAGGGAAAGGGUCACCAAGGCGACGACGGGUAGCCGGCCUGAGAGGGUGCCCGGCAACACUGGGACUGAGACACGGCCCAGACUCCUACGGGAGGCAGCAGUGGGGAAUAUUGCACAAUGGGCGCAAGCCUGAUGCAGCAACGCCGCGUGAGGGAUGACGGCCUUCGGGUUGUAAACCUCUUUUAGCAGGGAAGAAGCGAAAGUGACGGUACCUGCAGAAAAAGCACCGGCUAACUACGUGCCAGCAGCCGCAGUAA